GAUGUGUGUAUAGGUCUCAGCCUACAGUCUAAUUCCAACUUUGUCUGCACAUUUAACCUGAUUGUUCUUCUCAUCGAGGGGAAAUACGACCGCGUUCAAUCCAAACUGCAGUUUCACAUCUUUCCUCAUUUAAGAUACUAGUUUAAGAAAUGCCUCCCAAAACUAUAAAAAUGGCUUUAGCGGAGAUGCUGGAGGACCUGAAAAAAGAGGACUUUGAAAAGUUUUGCCACAGGCUUGUGGACCGCAGAGAAGAGCCGCACGUCAGACGCAACCGGGUGGAGGGGAAACACUUUUUAGAAGUCGCAGACGUCCUGGUUUCAUCUUUCACAGAGCCCGGAGCUCUUCGGGUAGCUGUGGAGAUAUUGGAAGACAUUGCCUGCUACGAGGACGCGAAGAGACUUGUAAUGGCAACAGGAGGACAGUAGACGUCUCGUUUGGACAGGAAGCACUCGACGUAUCGACACGUGUUCUCAUCCAGGACGUGAACAUCGGUCCACUAUAUGGGAUAAACUGGCCAGCAAGAAUUUUAUCACAAGGGUUAUGUGCAUACACCAACCUAAAAGAAUGAUUGAUGUUUUGUAUUCUUUUUAAUCGCAAUAAACAGCCUUUCUUGGUGUCUUCUC
Etheostoma cragini (Arkansas darter) is the source of this 623-nucleotide long non-coding RNA. RefSeq lists it as uncharacterized. The record is from RefSeq and is a predicted model, not a curated record. The transcript has 3 exons. Lineage: Eukaryota; Metazoa; Chordata; Actinopteri; Perciformes; Percidae.